UAACUAGAUUUACUGGGUAACGCGACA
Molecule: small RNA, 27 nt
Filed under: Bombyx mori (domestic silkworm)
Lineage: Eukaryota; Metazoa; Arthropoda; Insecta; Lepidoptera; Bombycidae
Description: piRNA piR-bmo-1527078
Source: RNAcentral